This 497-nucleotide ribosomal RNA is filed under the name uncultured bacterium. Its description in RNAcentral is "partial 16S ribosomal RNA". It matches the Rfam family "Bacterial small subunit ribosomal RNA", at positions 28 to 507 of the family's 1533-position model. The record is from RNAcentral.
GAUGAACGCUGGCGGUGUGCCUAAUACAUGCAAGUCGAGCGAACGGACGAGAAGCUUGCUUUUCUGAUGUUAGCGGCGGACGGGUGAGUAACACGUGGAUAACCUACCUAUAAGACUGGGAUAACUUCGGGAAACCGGAGCUAAUACCGGAUAAUAUUUUGAACCGCAUGGUUCAAAAGUGAAAGACGGUCUUGCUGUCACUUAUAGAUGGAUCCGCGCUGCAUUAGCUAGUUGGUAAGGUAACGGCUUACCAAGGCAACGAUGCAUAGCCGACCUGAGAGGGUGAUCGGCCACACUGGAACUGAGACACGGUCCAGACUCCUACGGGAGGCAGCAGUAGGGAAUCUUCCGCAAUGGGCGAAAGCCUGACGGAGCAACGCCGCGUGAGUGAUGAAGGUCUUCGGAUCGUAAAACUCUGUUAUUAGGGAAGAACAUAUGUGUAAGUAACUGUGCACAUUUUGACGGUACCUAAUCAGAAAGCCACGGCUAACUACGUG